ACGCCCGCGCUUCAGCAGAUCCGCGUUCGAGUCGUGCAUACCUUUAGCCACCUCCUCUCCAAUGUCCACGACUCUGAUAUACCGUGUUUGUUAGUCUUGACUGGUGUUUGUUCUCUGUUUUGUUGUGCAGGAGGCUGGAGAAGAGCAGGGAGAAAGGGGAGUCGUGUAUGGAGGUUCUGUACUUUUGUUGUAUCAACAUCUUCUCCGUGAGUCUUUUGCCCCCACUCUAUUUCUGGUUUGGGCUGAAACAUCAUCAUUUUGAUUCUUUACGUGGUUCACUGGCACAGGUUUGUCCUACAUGGCCGAGCGAGAUCGAAGCUAGCCGCCGGUAAUGUUCUUCUCCCGUGCAAGUUCUGCACUGCACUAAAGCAUCCAACACAUGGUGAGACAUCUUUUUAGCGUUUAAAAAACGUGCACCAUCCUUUCUCAUCCAACAUAUUUUUCACCCCUGAUUUGUGACCUCCUAAUGAACAUGAAGAUUCAUAUGCUAGCUAUAACACAUUAUAUAUUUGAAAGCAAUAUUUUCUGAUGUACUAUCCGAUGAAAUUUUAUUUUUGGAGACGUUCAUUCAUAAUUUUGACGACCUCUUGAUUCAUGUCAUUAGUAGUUAUUUCAAUAGAACAAAGAUGUUUUUCAGCACUUUUCAGGUAGGAAAUAUCCCUAUGGAAUAUUUUGGACAAUAUACAACAUGUUCUGUGGGCUUGAAGAAAAUAUAUAACAUGAUAUGUCACAUACUUUAUUGUUAAGUUACAAGAAUAGUUGUGGACGCCAUCCAAUUUUACAUAGAUUUCUAUUUAUUGUGCAAUGAUAUUUUUGUAGUGUGAUGAUAUAAAGAAGGAAUGUACAUUGUAGGGUGUUUGCUACGUGCUACAUAUAUCUUACUCAAUAGCAGUUAGUAAGCUUAUGUUCCAGUAAUGAGAAAGGGCACAAUCAUCUCAUGCCAUUUCGUGGGAGCAGUAGAAGUGACAUCUAUGCUAUGGUCUGAAGUAGAAGUGUAGAACACUAAUUGUAUGCUAUGGGCUGAAGUAGAAGACAUUAAGGCGAUUCAGCUGUCAUCUGAGCAUUCAAAUAGGCAAUGUUCUGUCUGCUAGAACGCAUCAAGUUUUGGCCGAUGUUCAUACUUUUGCGUAAUGUUCCUACUUUGGCUGUGCACAGAUGUAGCUACGUUAUACUCCCUCCGUUCCUCAAUAUAAGGUGUAUUAUUUUUCCAAAAAGUCAAACUUUUCUAAGUUUGACCAAGUUUAUAGACAAAAGUAUCAAUAUCUAGAAUACCAAAUCAUUAUCACUAGAUCCAUCAUGAACUAUAUUUUUACAUUUUAUAUAUUUACUAUUAUAAAUCUUUAUAUAUUUUGCUGUAAACUUGGUCAAACAUAGACAAUAGUUGACUUUUUGAAAAACUAAUACACCUUAUAUUUAGGAACGGAGGGAGUAGGUGGUACAUCAACCAAGUAUGUUUCAAGGUGAGACAUCCAUCAAGUUUGUUUGGAGGUGAGACAUCCAGCAAGUUUGUUUGAAGCCUCUGCAUACCUUCUCAUCCAGCAAGUUAACACCAGCAACUAUGAC
RNAcentral lists this long non-coding RNA (1563 nucleotides) under Triticum aestivum (bread wheat). RNAcentral describes it as "long non-coding RNA (TAES_LNC008443)". The record is from RNAcentral. Lineage: Eukaryota; Viridiplantae; Streptophyta; Magnoliopsida; Poales; Poaceae.